Tupaia belangeri chinensis (Chinese tree shrew) is the source of this 1481-nucleotide long non-coding RNA. RefSeq lists it as uncharacterized. The transcript has 5 exons. NCBI's taxonomy places the organism in Eukaryota, Metazoa, Chordata, Mammalia, Scandentia, Tupaiidae. The record is from RefSeq and is a predicted model, not a curated record.
UUAUUACCUAAAGGAAGGCACAGAGAAAGAAAAGAAAAGUUGUCGCCUCUAUUAGGAAGGGAGAUUGCGUGUAAGAUUUUCUUUUCACCAGUGGCCAGUCCAUGUGUGAAUCAGUGGGUCUUUCUCAUCACAGGAGAGGGGAACAAGAGGAAUCUGUCUCUCUUCCUUCCUCAUCUCCAAGCUUUGGCAAGGCAGUUGGGCAUCCUGGCCUGGGGUGUCUGAGGGGUCCUGAGGUUGGAUCCAGAGUAAUGCCACAGCUCUGUCUGCAUCACCGGCCACAGGGAUGCCCCAGCAGCCCCCCUUCCUUGGUUGUAAUGGAUGAAGCACUUUGGAUGAAAGGGGAUCUGCCGGAGAAGAGAUAGAGUGGGGCUGGUGGGUAUCAGUGUCCGUUUAUCUCCAGGAGGGCCAGACGCCGCCAGCGCAUGCCCAGGUUCAGUGAGCGCCCUGUAACCUUAGGCAAGCUGCGUUCUCGUUCUCUCCCGCGCGUCUCCACCACCACCCCUCCCACCUCACAGUUGGUCUCAUCGGUUCAGUUCCUCCAGGGACAAGGGUUGCAAAUGUCCUCAGUCGCAGUGCAUUUCACACCUCACCUGCAGCGGAGCAUCGCAGUUUGGCCUAGCCUACCUCAGCUGAGCUCGGAACGCUUACGUUGGCCUGUAGCUGGGAAAAAUCCUCCAUCACAAAGCUCAUUUUAUAACACGGUAUGGAAUAUCUCAUGUGAUUCAUUGAACACUGCACUGAGCGUAAACGCAGAGUCGCUUACUGCCACCGCGCAGAACCACCAGGUGUACUGCAGCAGCUAUCGCGAGCUCAGAAGAAGUUCGGAAUUCAAAAUCUGAGCCACCAGAAUCGUGAGUCAAAGAAACCUCUGUUGAGAUAAAUGACCCAGCCUGGGUAUUUCUGCUUAGCAACACAGUAAUGGACUAAGACAGGAUUACAUCCCAAGAGACCAGGCUGUUUGCUGCCCCCAGAAUAUCACUCUCUCCCUCUCUGCUGACCACUCCUAGCUCCAUUCUCAGGAGACAAAUCAGAAAGAGAAGAACUCUAAGAACCGGGGCGUCCUUUCCAGCUCCCGCCUGCCCUGACAGUGCAGACUGUGCUCCUUCCCAUUCCCAGGAAUUGAAGGAAGCCGCCCCAGAUCACAUCAUCAGGAAGUUUCAGAACCGUCGCAUGAGCCUGUAUCAGUCGAUGUUGGAUUAAGACAAUGUGUGCUAGCCCCUUAGCAAGCCAGCUGACUCGCUUCGGGUGAGAUGCAACCUCUGUGGGGCUCCUCAUGUCUGUCACCAGGAUAAUAAUACCUGCUCAGUGUGGUGCACUGGGGCUCUAGGAAGAUUGGACACGAGACCAUGUGGAAUCAUAUGUGACCCUCUAAGAUACACAACCCAAAACUCCCGAGCAUGUGCAUGAAGGGAUGUACAAACAUGCUCGUGGUAGCAUUGUUUGUUACAAAGAAAACUUGGAAGCAACCUCGAUGUCAUUGG